GACGAACGCUGGCGGCGUGCUUAACACAUGCAAGUCGAACGGUGAAGCGCCUUCCUUUUUGGUGGGUGUGGAUGAGUGGCGAACGGGUGAGUAACACGUGAGUAACCUGCCCCCUUCUUCUGGAUAACCGCAUGAAAGUGUGGCUAAUACGGGAUAUUCUGAGUCUGUCGCAUGAUGGGUCUGGGAAAGAUAUUGUUUCGGUGGGGGAUGGGCUCGCGGCCUAUCAGCUUGUUGGUGGGGUGAUGGCCUACCAAGGCGGUGACGGGUAGCCGGCCUGAGAGGGUGGACGGUCACACUGGGACUGAGACACGGCCCAGACUCCUACGGGAGGCAGCAGUGGGGAAUAUUGCACAAUGGGCGCAAGCCUGAUGCAGCGACGCCGCGUGAGGGAUGGAGGCCUGCGGGUUGUGAACCUCUUUCGCCAGUGAAGCAGGCCUGCCUCGUUUGUGGGUGGGUUGACGGUAGCUGGAGAAGAAGCGCCGGCUAACUACGUG
RNAcentral lists this ribosomal RNA (494 nucleotides) under uncultured bacterium. RNAcentral describes it as "partial 16S ribosomal RNA". It matches the Rfam family "Bacterial small subunit ribosomal RNA", at positions 28 to 507 of the family's 1533-position model. The record is from RNAcentral.